Molecule: unclassified non-coding RNA, 174 nt
Filed under: uncultured fungus
Lineage: Eukaryota; Fungi
Description: sequence contains ITS1
Source: RNAcentral
UUGAUUAAUUUAUCAUUGACUCGGACGCACAGAUGCAGGGUUGAUGGGUCCUCCGGGGGCCCGGCGCGGCGCCGGUGGUCCCCCGAGGCACGAAGGCCGUAUCACAUGGGGUUGGAGGUCGGGCCAGGGGCCCUUCGCUCAUUAAUGAUCCCUCCGCAGGUUCACCUACGGAGA